GACCUCGUGAUGUAGCGGUUGGCACCCUGGACUCUGAAUCCAGCGACCCGAGUUCGAGUCUCGGCGAGGUCU
This is a non-coding RNA of Schistosoma haematobium, 72 nucleotides long. Lineage: Eukaryota; Metazoa; Platyhelminthes; Trematoda; Strigeidida; Schistosomatidae. The record is from Rfam.